This is a long non-coding RNA of Patella vulgata (common limpet), 546 nucleotides long. RefSeq lists it as uncharacterized. Lineage: Eukaryota; Metazoa; Mollusca; Gastropoda; Patellidae. The record is from RefSeq and is a predicted model, not a curated record. The transcript has 3 exons.
UCAUCGUUCAUUUCCAGAUCAGAUCACAAGUACAACAACCUAUAGAGAACACAACCAGCGUUGAUCAUAUAUUAAUUUGUGGAAUGAGCCGUUUAGCAGUAACAAGUAUUUUAUCUAUAUGCACAUUCUACCUUAUAUCGGCAUUACCGGUCGAUUUAGACCGAAAUAAUGAUUUGGAAUUAGGCUAUAAUGAACCUAGCUUGGGAAGCUCAUUUCUGUCUAGACUGUAUUAUGAGUUAUUACGAGACGCGGCGGCGUCCCCGUCAUCGAUGAUGUCUAAACGAGGAAUAGGACCAUGUAUCAAUAACUGUUUGAAAGCUGGUGGAAGAAUGAAUUUUAUUCAGUGUAAAUCUAUGUGUCACUGAUGUUCUCAAUAGAAUAGCUAUGGUGACAUGCUGAACGUUGUUCAUCGGUGUUUGUUGACCAAAAACAAUGGUUCUACGUUUCCCAGAACUGAUCACAAACUGCCCAAGAUGAUCCAUAUGUUUUAAGUAUAAUGCCGAACCACUAUUUUCUGCUGUAUGAUAUAUUGUAUUGAAAUAAAGA